GUGAGGAAUAUUGGUCAAUGGACGGAAGUCUGAACCAGCCAUGCCGCGUGCAGGAAUAAGGUCCUAUGGAUUGUAAACUGCUUUUAUUCGGGAAUAAACCUCUUUACGUGUAGGGAGCUGAAGGUACCGAAGGAAUAAGCACCGGCUAACUCCGUGCCAGCAGCCGCGGUACUACGGAGGGUGCAAGCGUUAUCCGGAAUCAUUGGGUUUAAAGGGUCCGCAGGCGGGCUAUCAAGUCAGAGGUGAAAUCCCACAGCUUAACUGUGGAACUGCCUUUGAAACUGAUGGUCUUAAAUUAAUUGGGCGUUGGCUGAAUAUGACAUGUAGCGGUGAAAUGCAUAGAUAUGUCAUGGAACACCGAAAGCGAAUGCAGCUAACGAUACUUAUAUUGACGCUCAUGGACGAAAGCGUGGGUAGCGAACAGGAUUAGAAACCCGGGUAGUCC
Molecule: ribosomal RNA, 445 nt
Filed under: uncultured bacterium
Lineage: Bacteria
Description: partial 16S ribosomal RNA
Rfam family: Bacterial small subunit ribosomal RNA
Source: RNAcentral